RNAcentral lists this ribosomal RNA (490 nucleotides) under uncultured bacterium. RNAcentral's name for it is "partial 16S ribosomal RNA". It matches the Rfam family "Bacterial small subunit ribosomal RNA", at positions 30 to 507 of the family's 1533-position model. The record is from RNAcentral.
AUUGAACGCUGGCGGCAUGCUUUACACAUGCAAGUCGGACGGCAGCACAGAGGAGCUUGCUUCUUGGGUGGCGAGUGGCGAACGGGUGAGUAACGCAUCGGAACGUACCGAGUAAUGGGGGAUAACUGUCCGAAAGGACAGCUAAUACCGCAUACGCCCUGAGGGGGAAAGCGGGGGAUCUUAGGACCUCGCGUUAUUCGAGCGGCCGAUGUCUGAUUAGCUGGUUGGCGGGGUAAAGGCCCACCAAGGCGACGAUCAGUAGCGGGUCUGAGAGGAUGAUCCGCCACACUGGGACUGAGACACGGCCCAGACUCCUACGGGAGGCAGCAGUGGGGAAUUUUGGACAAUGGGCGCAAGCCUGAUCCAGCCAUGCCGCGUGUCUGAAGAAGGCCUUUGGGUUGUAAAGGACUUUUGUCAGGGAAGAAAAGGGGCAUGUUAAUACCGUGCUCUGAUGACGGUACCUGAAGAAUAAGCACCGGCUAACUACGUG